This 467-nucleotide ribosomal RNA is filed under the name uncultured bacterium. RNAcentral describes it as "partial 16S ribosomal RNA". It matches the Rfam family "Bacterial small subunit ribosomal RNA", at positions 28 to 507 of the family's 1533-position model. The record is from RNAcentral.
GACGAACGCUGGCGGCGUGCUUAACACAUGCAAGUCGAACGGAAAGGCCUCUUUCGGGGGGUACUCGAGUGGCGAACGGGUGAGUAACACGUGAGUAACCUGCCCUUGACUUUGGGAUAACUUCAGGAAACUGGGGCUAAUACCGGAUAGGAGCUCCUGCUGCAUGGUGGGGGUUGGAAAGUUUCGGCGGUUGGGGAUGGACUCGCGGCUUAUCAGCUUGUUGGUGGGGUAGUGGCUUACCAAGGCUUUGACGGGUAGCCGGCCUGAGAGGGUGACCGGCCACAUUGGGACUGAGAUACGGCCCAGACUCCUACGGGAGGCAGCAGUGGGGAAUAUUGCACAAUGGGUGGAAGCCUGAUGCAGCAACGCCGUGUGCGGGAUGACGGCCUUCGGGUUGUAAACCGCUUUCGCUCAUGACGAAGCUUUGUGUGACGGUAGUGGGUAAAGAAGCACCGGCUAACUACGAG